AAUGAACGCUGGCGGUAGGCCUAACACAUGCAAGUCGAACGGCAGCACAGUAAGAGCUUGCUCUUACGGGUGGCGAGUGGCGGACGGGUGAGGAAUACAUCGGAAUCUACUUUUUCGUGGGGGAUAACGUAGGGAAACUUACGCUAAUACCGCAUACGACCUACGGGUGAAAGCAGGGGAUCUUCGUACCUUGCGCGAUUGAAUGAGCCGAUGUCGGAGUAGCUAGUUGGCGGGGUAAAGGCCCACCAAGGCGACGAUCCGUAGCGGGUCUGAGAGGAUGAUCAGCCACACUGGAACUGAGACACGGUCCAGACUCCUACGGGAGGCAGCAGUGGGGAAUAUGGGACAAUGGGCGCAAGCGUGAUCCAGCCAUACCGCGUGGGUGAAGAAGGCCUUCGGGUUGUAAAGCCCUUUUGUUGGGAAAGAAAAGCAGCAGGUUAAUACGCCGCUGUUCUGACGGUACCCAAAGAAUAAGCACCGGCUAACUUCGUG
RNAcentral lists this ribosomal RNA (492 nucleotides) under uncultured bacterium. RNAcentral describes it as "partial 16S ribosomal RNA". It matches the Rfam family "Bacterial small subunit ribosomal RNA", at positions 29 to 507 of the family's 1533-position model. The record is from RNAcentral.